This 454-nucleotide ribosomal RNA is filed under the name uncultured bacterium. RNAcentral's name for it is "partial 16S ribosomal RNA". It matches the Rfam family "Bacterial small subunit ribosomal RNA", at positions 28 to 507 of the family's 1533-position model. The record is from RNAcentral.
GAUGAACGCUGACAGAAUGCUUAACACAUGCAAGUCCACUUGAACUUCGGUUUGGGUGGCGGACGGGUGAGUAACGCGUAAAGAACUUGCCUCACAGUUAGGGACAACAUUUGGAAACGAAUGCUAAUACCUGAUAUUAUGAUUUUAGGGCAUCCUAGAAUUAUGAAAGCUAUAUGCGCUGUGAGAGAGCUUUGCGUCCCAUUAGCUAGUUGGAGAGGUAACGGCUCACCAAGGCGAUGAUGGGUAGCCGGCCUGAGAGGGUGAACGGCCACAAGGGGACUGAGACACGGCCCUUACGCCUACGGGAGGCAGCAGUGGGGAAUAUUGGACAAUGGACCAAGAGUCUGAUCCAGCAAUUCUGUGUGCACGAUGAAGUUUUUCGGAAUGUAAAGUGCUUUCAGUUGGGAAGAAAAAAAUGACGAUACCAACAGAAGAAGUGACGGCUAAAUACGUG